ACGCUGGCGGCGUGCCUAAUACAUGCAAGUAGAACGCUGAAGAGAGGAGCUUGCUCUUCUUGGAUGAGUUGCGAACGGGUGAGUAACGCGUAGGUAACCUGCCUUGUAGCGGGGGAUAACUAUUGGAAACGAUAGCUAAUACCGCAUAACAAUGGAUGACACAUGUCAUUUAUUUGAAAGGGGCAAUUGCUCCACUACAAGAUGGACCUGCGUUGUAUUAGCUAGUAGGUGAGGUAACGGCUCACCUAGGCGACGAUACAUAGCCGACCUGAGAGGGUGAUCGGCCACACUGGGACUGAGACACGGCCCAGACUCCUACGGGAGGCAGCAGUAGGGAAUCUUCGGCAAUGGGGGCAACCCUGACCGAGCAACGCCGCGUGAGUGAAGAAGGUUUUCGGAUUGUAAAGCUCUGUUGUAAGUCAAGAACGAGUGUGAGAGUGGAAAGUUCACACUGUGACGGUAGCUUACCAGAAAGGGACGGCUAACUACGUGCCAGCAGCCGCGGUAAUACGUAGGUCCCGAGCGUUGUCCGGAUUUAUUGGGCGUAAAGCGAGCGCAGGCGGUUUGAUAAGUCUGAAGUUAAAGGCUGUGGCUCAACCAUAGUUCGCUUUGGAAACUGUCAAACUUGAGUGCAGAAGGGGAGAGUGGAAUUCCAUGUGUAGCGGUGAAAUGCGUAGAUAUAUGGAGGAACACCGGUGGCGAAAGCGGCUCUCUGGUCUGUAACUGACGCUGAGGCUCGAAAGCGUGGGGAGCGAACAGGAUUAGAUACCCUGGUAGUCCACGCCGUAAACGAUGAGUGCUAGGUGUUGGAUCCUUUCCGGGAUUCAGUGCCGCAGCUAACGCAUUAAGCACUCCGCCUGGGGAGUACGACCGCAAGGUUGAAACUCAAAGGAAUUGACCGGGGGCCCGCACAAGCGG
RNAcentral lists this ribosomal RNA (918 nucleotides) under uncultured bacterium. RNAcentral describes it as "bacterial SSU rRNA". It matches the Rfam family "Bacterial small subunit ribosomal RNA", at positions 33 to 932 of the family's 1533-position model. The record is from RNAcentral.